This 334-nucleotide long non-coding RNA is filed under the name Homo sapiens (human). RNAcentral's name for it is "non-protein coding lnc-KLHL32-4:42". The record is from RNAcentral. Lineage: Eukaryota; Metazoa; Chordata; Mammalia; Primates; Hominidae.
ACUCUCGGUAAAUGAAUGAGGAGAGCCCCAUGUGGGAUUACAAACUUGCUGGAAAUGGAUGAGAAACCUUCUGCUCUGCUGGAGUUUAUCUUGAGUGUGCCUUAAAAUUCCAUUUCAUGGAGAACUGUGCGUGGUUGAAUUUUGAUUGAUUACUCAAUUAACUGAUGUAUUGGUAGAGUGAUUAAGAAAGAAGACUUUGGGAUCAGACCAACCUGGUUUUGAAUUCAAGCUCAGCAACUUACUAGGUCAAACCGGAAAGAUGACAAUGAAUGUGGUGAUAUUUUUGUUACUACUUUGGGAGAAAAACUCCUGACGGUGCUGAUGUCCAAUGAAA